GCUGGGCAUGGUGGCGCGUGCCUGUAAUCCCAGCUACUCAGGAGGCUGAGGCAGGAGAAUUGCCUGAACCCAGGAGGCGGAGGUUGCGGUGAGCUGAGAUCAAGCCACUGCACUCCAGCCUGGGUAACAAGAGCGAAACUCUGUCUCAA
Molecule: small RNA, 149 nt
Filed under: Callithrix jacchus (white-tufted-ear marmoset)
Lineage: Eukaryota; Metazoa; Chordata; Mammalia; Primates; Cebidae
Description: Metazoan signal recognition particle RNA (ENSCJAG00000074895.1)
Source: Rfam by way of RNAcentral